Mus musculus (house mouse) is the source of this 143-nucleotide non-coding RNA. The record is from Rfam. NCBI's taxonomy places the organism in Eukaryota, Metazoa, Chordata, Mammalia, Rodentia, Muridae.
AACCCCCGGCAAUGGGCAAAGAGAUGCCUUGUUGGUGAUGUUGUUCUUAUAUCAGUCAAGAGCAGAGCAGAUGGCUGUCCUUUGUUUAUCCUCCCUUGAUGUCUGUCUUGGUGGCCAAACUAUCUUAUACCCAGGACUCAUAA